GAUGAAGAACGCAGCGAAAUGCGAUAAGUAAUGUGAAUUGCAGAAUUCAGUGAAUCAUCGAAUCUUUGAACGCACAUUGCGCCCGCUAGUAUUCUGGCGGGCAUGCCUGUUCGAGCGUCAUUUCAACCAUCAAGCCCUGCUUGUGUUGGGGUCCUGCGGCUGCCCGCAGGCCCUGAAAACCAGUGGCGGGCUCGCUAGUCACACCGAGCGCAGUAGCACAUCUCGCUCAGGGCGUGCGGCGGGUUCUUGCCGUAAAACACCCCCUUUUUACCAAGGUUGACUUCGGAUCAGGUAGGAAUACCCGCUGAACUUAAGCAUAUCAAUAGCGGAGGA
RNAcentral lists this unclassified non-coding RNA (333 nucleotides) under soil metagenome. RNAcentral's name for it is "partial contains 5.8S ribosomal RNA, internal transcribed spacer 2, and large subunit ribosomal RNA". The stretch from base 1 to 120 matches the Rfam family "5.8S ribosomal RNA", at positions 35 to 154 of the family's 154-position model. The record is from RNAcentral.